GGGGCUGUGGCUCAAUGGUACAGUGUCUGCCUGGCACACAGAAGGUCAUAGCUUCAAUUCCUGGGAGGAUCA
Molecule: transfer RNA, 72 nt
Filed under: Sphaerodactylus townsendi
Lineage: Eukaryota; Metazoa; Chordata; Lepidosauria; Squamata; Sphaerodactylidae
Description: tRNA-Ala
Source: RNAcentral